This 497-nucleotide ribosomal RNA is filed under the name uncultured bacterium. Its description in RNAcentral is "partial 16S ribosomal RNA". It matches the Rfam family "Bacterial small subunit ribosomal RNA", at positions 28 to 507 of the family's 1533-position model. The record is from RNAcentral.
GAUGAACGCUGGCGGCGUGCCUAAUACAUGCAAGUCGAGCGAACAGAUGAGGAGCUUGCUCCUCUGACGUUAGCGGCGGACGGGUGAGUAACACGUGGAUAACCUACCUAUAAGACUGGGAUAACUUCGGGAAACCGGAGCUAAUACCGGAUAAUAUAUUGAACCGCAUGGUUCAAUAGUGAAAGACGGUUUUGCUGUCACUUAUAGAUGGAUCCGCGCCGCAUUGGCUAGUUGGUAAGGUAACGGCUUACCAAGGCAACGAUGCGUAGCCGACCUGAGAGGGUGAUCGGCCACACUGGAACUGAGACACGGUCCAGACUCCUACGGGAGGCAGCAGUAGGGAAUUUUCCGCAAUGGGCGAAAGCCUGACGGAGCAACGCCGCGUGAGUGAUGAAGGUCUUCGGAUCGUAAAACUCUGUUAUUAGGGAAGAACAAAUGUGUAAGUAACUAUGCACGUCUUGACGGUACCUAAUCAGAAAGCCACGGCUAACUACGUG